UACGUAGGGUGCGAGCGUUGUCCGGAAUUAUUGGGCGUAAAGGGCUCGUAGGCGGUUUGUCGCGUCGGGAGUGAAAACCCAGGGCUUAACCCUGGGCUGGCUUUCGAUACGGGCAGACUAGAGGUAUGCAGGGGAGAACGGAAUUCCUGGUGUAGCGGUGAAAUGCGUAGAUAUUGGGAGGAACAUCGGUGGCGAAGGCGGCUACCUGGACGGGUACUGACGCUGAUGCGCGAAAGCUAGGGGAGCAAACAGG
This 253-nucleotide ribosomal RNA is filed under the name uncultured bacterium. Its description in RNAcentral is "partial 16S ribosomal RNA". It matches the Rfam family "Bacterial small subunit ribosomal RNA", at positions 524 to 776 of the family's 1533-position model. The record is from RNAcentral.